GACGAAGGAUGCAAGCGUUAUCCGGAUUCACUGGGUUUAAAGGGUGCGUAGGUGGGUUGAUAAGUCAGUGGUGAAAUCCCCGAGCUUAACUUGGGAACUGCCAUUGAUACUAUUGAUCUUGAAUACCGUGGAGGUCAGCGGAAUAUGUCAUGUAGCGGUGAAAUGCUUAGAUAUGACAUAGAACACCAAUUGCGAAGGCAGCUGGCUACGCGAAUAUUGACACUGAUGCACGAAAGCGUGGGGAUCAAACAGG
Molecule: ribosomal RNA, 253 nt
Filed under: uncultured bacterium
Lineage: Bacteria
Description: partial 16S ribosomal RNA
Rfam family: Bacterial small subunit ribosomal RNA
Source: RNAcentral